RNAcentral lists this ribosomal RNA (380 nucleotides) under uncultured eukaryote. RNAcentral's name for it is "partial 18S ribosomal RNA". It matches the Rfam family "Eukaryotic small subunit ribosomal RNA", at positions 592 to 976 of the family's 1831-position model. The record is from RNAcentral.
CAAUAGCGUAUAUUAAAGUUGUUGCAGUUAAAAAGCUCGUAGUUGGAUUUGUGGCGUACGGUGUGUUCCGGGCACUUGUUGUCUGAGUAACCUGCUGUUGCCAUCCUUGGGUGGAACCUGUGAGGCAUUAGGUUGUCGUGCAGGGGAUGCCCAUCAUUUACUGUGAAAAAAUUAGAGUGUUCAAAGCAGGCUUAUGCCGUUGAAUAUAUUAGCAUGGAAUAAUGAGAUAGGACUUUUUUGCUAUUUUGUUGGUUUGCGCAAAGAGGUAAUGAUUAAUAGAGACAGUUGGGGGUAUUCGUAUUCCAUUGUCAGAGGUGAAAUUCUUGGAUUUUUGGAAGACGAACUACUGCGAAAGCAUUUACCAAGGAUGUUUUCAUUAA